GCCUAGGAAUCUGCCUGGUAGUGGGGGACAACGUUUCGAAAGGAACGCUAAUACCGCAUACGUCCUACGGGAGAAAGCAGGGGACCUUCGGGCCUUGCGCUAUCAGAUGAGCCUAGGUCGGAUUAGCUAGUAGGUGAGGUAAUGGCUCACCUAGGCGACGAUCCGUAACUGGUCUGAGAGGAUGAUCAGUCACACUGGAACUGAGACACGGUCCAGACUCCUACGGGAGGCAGCAGUGGGGAAUAUUGGACAAUGGGCGAAAGCCUGAUCCAGCCAUGCCGCGUGUGUGAAGAAGGUCUUCGGAUUGUAAAGCACUUUAAGUUGGGAGGAAGGGCAGUAAGUUAAUACCUUGCUGUUUUGACGUUACCGACAGAAUAAGCACCGGCUAACUCUGUGCCAGCAGCCGCGGUAAUACAGAGGGUGCAAGCGUUAAUCGGAAUUACUGGGCGUAAAGCGCGCGUAGGUGGUUCGUUAAGUUGGAUGUGAAAGCCCCGGGCUCAACCUGGGAACUGCAUCCAAAACUGGCGAGCUAGAGUAUGGUAGAGGGUGGUGGAAUUUCCUGUGUAGCGGUGAAAUGCGUAGAUAUAGGAAGGAACACCAGUGGCGAAGGCGACCACCUGGACUGAUACUGAC
RNAcentral lists this ribosomal RNA (633 nucleotides) under Pseudomonas mosselii. RNAcentral's name for it is "bacterial SSU rRNA". It matches the Rfam family "Bacterial small subunit ribosomal RNA", at positions 115 to 744 of the family's 1533-position model. Lineage: Bacteria; Pseudomonadati; Pseudomonadota; Gammaproteobacteria; Pseudomonadales; Pseudomonadaceae. The record is from RNAcentral.